This 65-nucleotide transfer RNA is filed under the name Escherichia coli. RNAcentral's name for it is "tRNA-Gln". It matches the Rfam family "tRNA". From Rfam's summary of the family: Transfer RNA (tRNA) molecules are approximately 80 nucleotides in length. Their secondary structure includes four short double-helical elements and three loops (D, anti-codon, and T loops). Lineage: Bacteria; Pseudomonadati; Pseudomonadota; Gammaproteobacteria; Enterobacterales; Enterobacteriaceae. RNAcentral also lists the same sequence under 22 other names. The record is from RNAcentral.
GGUAUCGCCAAGCGGUAAGGCACCGGAUUCUGAUUCCGGCAUUCCGAGGUUCGAAUCCUCGUACC